Molecule: long non-coding RNA, 3651 nt
Filed under: Marmota monax (woodchuck)
Lineage: Eukaryota; Metazoa; Chordata; Mammalia; Rodentia; Sciuridae
Source: RNAcentral
UGUUUGUGUUUGUGUGUGUGUGUGUGUGCACGCCUGCACGCACUUUGAACCAGGAGGACGUGGGCUGUGAGGAGAAGCUGUACUUCGGCUUGAAUGAAUACAGCAAGUCUCUGCAGUGGGGGGUCACAAGCCCACUCCUGAGGUGCGAUGAGACCUUCGAGAAGAUGGUGAACACGCUCUUGGAGAGGUAAAUAAGGACGCCUGCCCUUUUCUUUAGCUGUGCUUACAUGUCACAGGGAGUUUGGAGCUCAUGCAGAUGACAUGCAGAGGCCAAAUAAGAAAAGCCUCUUCUUCUAAGAUGCCUUUUACCCUAUGGGUUUCACGUGAUCACCUGAGACCAUCAGAGGAAGACGUGACCUAAAAUAGUGACCUACAGUAGGGCACAGCACCCCUUUUCAUGCCCUGAAUUGUCUCCCAAUGAAGCGUCAUUGCUACCAGCAAGAGGUUGAAAGGUCAGAAAGGGAUUUUGCUCAUUAAAGACAUCUCUCUGGCCGCCCUGACCCUGUAUUUCGGGCUUCUACGUCUUCUCCUCUUUCCUCCUGUUGACCACAGGAAAGCAUCCUCAGAUGACUUUGUAAAAACCAAACUUGACUAUGAGAGAGGUGGAGGACAGACUGAAGAAAGUUAGGGAACAAUCAGAGAAUUUCGGUGUGUUCAGUUCUUGGGGUCCCUCUUUCAGUCUCUGAUGCUUAGAGAUUAAGGAUAAUGAUUCUUCUGGCUUGUCUGCCUUUUAUUCCUCAGUUCUAGGUCAAACCCUGAAAGAGUUUUUUCCUUUUCUUAACUUGAAUCAUAAACUCGAAGAUUAGUUAAAGGCAUUUCCUUAACCUAAUAGAAGUUUCUCCUUGUCCUCGGCCUCAGUAUUCUAUGAUCAUCCAACAAUGGAACCGUAUGACUCUAUUGUAUGAGGCAGAUUGUAAUUUUUAGUAACUGUGGUUCUUAAAAUUAGCCUCAGUUGAUCACAAGCUAUCUGUUUAACAAAUCUGCUCUCUAUAUUUUGCUAAGGGAAAAAUAAAAUAAGAGACAAGUGGAUACAUCCUAACUAGCUACUUAAAAUGUUGCCUCAGGAAAUAGGAGUUGGCCUAGAUUUGAUUUCUUCACAGCUGUUAGAUUUGAGAAGUCUUAGCUGACACUGUUACAUUAAUCCUUUCACAGAACAUGUUAUCCCAAAUUUCCAAAAUUAUCCAUGAGUCUCCCCUUUAAAGUCUCCCACCCAUUCCAUGUGCCAGCCCGGAAUACAUUUUUCUUCCCAGGAACAUCAGAGACUCAUAACUUAUAUUUUAAAAGAUGAUCCCAUCAACUUCAAUUCCAACUUUUGUAAUACACAACUACAGUUUGUAGUCUAAUAGAAAUGUAACAGAUUGGAGAAACUAGUUGCUUUUAAAUUCAUAAUUCUUUUCCGAGUGUGAAAGGUAAGGGCCUAUAUAUCAAAGUUACCAUUUAUUCUAACCUUGGCUUUUUUUCCACAUGGCCAAGCAAAACAGAACAAAACACCCUAAGCUUUAAACACAGAUCAUCUGUGCUUUCCUCCUCCAAUGCCGUCUCUUGCAGGCUAAUAAUAGCUAUGAUUUAUUGAACAGCUGAAGGAACUGGCCCAGGAUUGGUGGAACUGAAAUUUUUCUUUACUUUUUCCCCACUAAAACCUUGUAAUGUGUGAAGAAAUUGUCAGAGACCUGAAAAAAAACAGACCCAGCUCAGUCUCCGACAAGUUGUGUGAUCUAAGACGAGGAUGAAUGUCUCUCAGCACCUUAACUCAUUCUGCUCUGAAAGGACUGCUGGUCCUUUCCCCUCUGAAACUCUUCAAAAACAUGUUAUUCGUUUGAUGACCCUAAUUGGUAUUUGCCCCUGGAUUGUUCUGUGCAGGCUGGUGGAACAUCUGUAUUUUGAUUAUAAAAUGAAACAAAUGGAAAUCCCCCACAAUCCAUCCAGUAGCCGGGCAGCCAGGAAGACAGUGCACAGGCUCAGCCCAGCCAAUCCUGGGCCUGGCUCUGCUUUGCCAGCACUCAGUUAGCCACUCAUCUAGUCAUUAGCCUUCCUGAGGAAUAGAGAUUUCUUUUCUACAUGCUCUGUAAUUUUACAAGUUGCCAGUUUCAAUAAAGUGAUCCUCUCUAAGCAGGGACCAAGGGGUGUCACGCUCACAGGCUCACAGCUCUAGUUGGCUUUUCCCCCUUGACUAAUUUGGGUCUCAGACAAUAAAGAGCCCAAGCCACUAGAGGGUGCUCUUUCACCAGUCAGCUCCCCUGUUUCCAGCAAGGCACAUUUACAGGAAGCCAUCUGUAGGGCUGACCUGAAAUUAGAAAUGAUUACCCGUUUUAUGUUGACACUCCAAAAAUACAGUAAUAUCUCCCUUUACUGUAACUUAAGUGUCAGAGAACUGAGUAGACAACAUUGCCAUUCUAACCCAAUGCCACCAGCAAGAGGUUAGGACCCAAGGAUUAUCCCUUAAGAGUCUAACUAGGCCAAUGCAUUCCAGAAUUUAAUGUACACGUGAAUCACCUGUGGAUUCUGAUUCAGUAAGUCAGGAGGGUGGGCAUUUCUAACAACCCCCCAGGUGCUGCUGUUGCUGGUCUAGAGCCCACACUUUUGAGAGGGUAGGGCCACAAAGCAUUCGUAAGCCUCUUGGUUUUACCUGUCCCAUGGGGCCAUUACUCACAUGCUUUGGAAGCUCAACUUCUCCUUCUAGUGAUAUGGGAUCCAAGGUCCUUGUAGAGCUCACACUCCUGAUCAGGAGCCCCUUCCCUGCCAUGCUCCAUCUGCCUUUUGCUGCCUGGGCCUCGCUGUUCCAACUGUCCUGCUGCUGAGUGCCAGGCCCCUGUGCUCUUUUGAAGGUACCCCAGGCUGCACAGCAUGGUCGUCCGCUGCUACCUUCUCAUCCAGCAGUACUCGGAGGCCCUGAUGGCUCUUACUACCAUGGCGUCACUACGAGACCACAGCACACCAGAAACACUCAGCAUUAUGGAUGACCUCAUCAGCUCCCCAGGAAAAAACAAAAGUGGGAGGGGACACAUGCUCAUUAUCAGGGUGCCCUCGGUGCAGCUGGCGAUGUUAGCCAAGGAGCGACUGCAGGAGGUGCGGGACAAGCUGGGUCUACAGUAUCGCUUUGAGAUCAUCCUUGGGAACCCGGCCUCUGAACUCAAUGUUGCAACCCACUUUGUGGCACGAUUAAAGGUUAGCAAAGGACAUACAUUAGUUUCUGUUUUCCAGGAAUCUGAAAUACCAUUUGUUUCUGUUUUCCAGGAAUCCUAUCUAGGUGGCUUAGAGGCCUGAGUUUAGUAGAUUUUUGCACGUGUGUGCAUGUGAUCUCCAGAACAGUGUCAGGGCUAACAUGAGGAAUAUGUUUGCUUUCAUUAAUUGGAGCCAGAUUCUCAAGAUUCUGUCAAGCCCCCUUGUUAGCAUGUGCAUGCAGUUGGUCUCCGUGCUCUCCAACUGCAGGUGCAAAAAAUGAGAUGACCCCAUUUGACCCCAUGUUUAUUGACCUUGUUCGAGAUGCAUCUAGCCCACGGCCAUCUGUUUUCUCAGGAACAAAAGGUAAGCUGUUCUCUGGGACCUUGCUGGGGUCUCCUUUUCAGUAUCCUCAACUCACUAAUUCUUUUCUGUCCAUCUAGCCCAUCUGUCAGCUCAUGGCUAGAGUCGGUAAAGUAUCCCAUUUCAUCU